AUCCAGAUGAUGAGUCCCAAAUAGGACGAAAUGUGCAUCCUGGAU
Trichobilharzia regenti is the source of this 45-nucleotide non-coding RNA. Lineage: Eukaryota; Metazoa; Platyhelminthes; Trematoda; Strigeidida; Schistosomatidae. The record is from Rfam.